AACAAGGAUUCCCCUAGUAACGGCGAGUGAACCGGGAAGAGCUCAAAUUUGAAAUCUGGCGUCCUCAGGGCGUCCGAGUUGUAAUCUAWAGAGGCGUUUUCCGUGCCGGACCGUGUCCAAGUUCCUUGGAACAGGAUAUCAAAGAGGGUGACAAUCCCGUACUUGACACGACGACCGGUGCUCUGUGAUACGUCUUCUACGAGUCGAGUUGUUUGGGAAUGCAGCUCAAAAUGGGUGGUGAGUUCCAUCUAAAGCUAAAUAUUGGCGAGAGACCGAUAGCGAACAAGUWCCGUGAGGGAAAGAUGAAAAGCACUUUGGAAAGAGAGUUAAACAGUACGUGAAAUUGUUGAAAGGGAAACGAUUGAAGUCAGUCGUGACCGAGAGGCUCAGCCGGCUCUGCCGGUGUAUUCCCCUCGGUCGGGUCAACAUCAGUUUUGUCCGGUGGAUAAGGGCGGUAGGAAGGUGGCACCCUCGGGUGUGUUAUAGCCUGCCGUCGCAUACAUCGGGUGAGACUGAGGAACGCAGCUCGCCUUUAUGGCCGGGGU
This 545-nucleotide ribosomal RNA is filed under the name Papiliotrema laurentii. Its description in RNAcentral is "LSU rRNA". It matches the Rfam family "Eukaryotic large subunit ribosomal RNA", at positions 67 to 626 of the family's 3401-position model. Lineage: Eukaryota; Fungi; Basidiomycota; Tremellomycetes; Tremellales; Rhynchogastremaceae. The record is from RNAcentral.